CUUGCCUCUUUGCUGGUGACUGUCCCACCUGCUGGGAAAGGGAUACCCAGAGGUCCACAGAAGAGUCCUCGGAUCAGAAGACAGCAGCCUCCCUCCUUGCCCCAUCAGAAGGUCCAGGAGCACAGGCCGGAGGAACAGUUGCCUCUAGAUCCUCAGUUUCUCUGUCUGUGAAAUGGGAGAGAUACUGGACCAGGGUUAGGACUAUAUGAAUGGUGUUCAGUCCUAAGCCCAUGGUCUUCAUAUGGAUCUGAGCCCCUGAAAGGGCCCGUAGGCUGGGGAGAGAUCCUGUCACAUGCCCUGGCCCAGACUCCUUUGGUAUCCAAAGCAGAUGGCCCCAGCAAGAUGGGGAUAAUAUUCCAAGCAGCUUCCCAAGCUUGGCCAGGCAUCUGGGCACCAGGCACAGCACAUGUUUGCUACAUAUGUUGGUGACGUGUUUGCCUCCAAGAACGGAAGUGGCCCAGAAGUUCUCCAUACAGUGUCACAUACCAUCUCCAGGAAGGCUGUCCAUCCAGGGAGCGGCUGACUCGCUAGCUGAGGAGCUGGUGAGGAGGAACUUCAGAUGGUGGUAGGAUUCAAGCCAGAGCUGUGUGGACCCAGGUGCUCUUCACCGUUAGAUUCAGCAAGAGCAUGUACCAGGUUUACCCAGAGGUCUUGCCCCGGCUCCCAGCUAACACCUCCCUAGUUAUCCUGGAAUCCACUAUGCAAACCAGCAAGCUCUAACUCACAGAGAUGUACCUCUGCCUCCUGAGGGCUUGCUUGGCUUACAAGCAUGGACCACCUCACCUGGCCUUCUACCCUGUCUCACAUGGCUGCAUCUUUACGAUAUUGUAGUAUGAUAUAA
Long non-coding RNA from Psammomys obesus (fat sand rat), 841 nucleotides. RefSeq lists it as uncharacterized. The transcript is spliced from 4 exons. The record is from RefSeq and is a predicted model, not a curated record. NCBI's taxonomy places the organism in Eukaryota, Metazoa, Chordata, Mammalia, Rodentia, Muridae.